CUAUUCCUUUUCAUCUUUCCUUGUUGUAGUAAUAUUUUGUAGUCCUUGACUUACUUAGCAUAGGGACACCAUUUUUUAGUAACUUCUGUAUACAAGAAGAUUAUAUUGCUAUAUUAUUUACUUGUGUUUGCCCAUAAUUCAUAAACAUUGGCUGUUAAAUUUGCGAAUCUGUCAUUUUAUUCCAAAUGGAUGAAUUCAUUUUUUGCUACAAAGUAUCCAAUACCUGAAAGUUAUGCCAAUUAUAGUAAAAUUUUAUACAUGCUGUUUAAAAUUUACUUUUAUGCUUUGAAUUGCUGAGUUGGCUUCUGGAACUAAGAAUAGUUAUCUAAAUGGGUCAUCUUGCAGUUGCAAGCAACAAAGCUUUGCUGAAUCUGUGCUUCGGUGACUUGAAAAAUGAUACCAUAAUGUACAUUUGUUUAGUCGUUUUUUAUCUUGAUAAUGAUGCAUAUCUGAUUGUCUAUGCACUCGAUUUCUUAUUUGUUGAAUGCUAUUUUUUUUUAAUCUUAGAAUUAGUUGGUGUUUUGAAGGUGAAAAUUGAAACAAAGCGCUUCUCAAAGCAUUUCGUAGCAGAGUACAGUUUUUGAUGGUUUCCUGGGAUGCAUUUUGGUGGAAGUGAGAGAACUCCUUUGUUAGACAGAGGAAUUGGACGAGCACUGAGGUCAGCGUUGAAAAGUUUAGGACUCUGGGAAUCAAUAAAAGAGCUGGCAAGGGCAUACGAGUAUAUUAUGGCUCUGAUAUUGUUCAUGCCCAUAGCUAUCCUGUCAUGGUUCCCAUUUGUGUCAGAGUUCCAAACCCGGCUGCUUUUCAACCAAGCAUUUAGCAGAGGCCUCCAGAUUUCUAUGAUCCUUGCAGGAAGAAAAGAGAAAGACAUCACAUCCCCAGUCAAGUACGCUUGAAUUUUUUAACGAGUAGGAUUCAAUCAUCUGAAUUUGGAUUUAUCAAAACUUUGUCGUUGUUUUAUCAUCAAAUCUGUUCAAAACCUUAUUAAAGAAGUCUUUCUUGUUCUUUGUUUUGAUAGUAAUUUUUUAAUAUUAAUAAUUGAAAUUAAAUUUUAAAAAAAUACUAACGUCUUAACAUUUAUAAUGAUGCACUUGACUGUCAGAAUAUUUUAGGUUAUACUGAUAGUUACCAAUAGUUAGUAAAAUAUAAUGUCGGAUAAUCCAUCGAAAAAAUAAAAUAUACAAGUUUAUACUGAUGAACGUUAACCGUCGGUAUAUUUUAGAAAAAUUAAAACAUAUAAGUUUAUAUUGACGGACAUUAAUUGUUGGGAUAAGUAAGAAAAAUUAAAACAUACAAGUUUCUAUU
This is a non-coding RNA of Durio zibethinus, 1305 nucleotides long. The record is from RefSeq and is a predicted model, not a curated record. NCBI's taxonomy places the organism in Eukaryota, Viridiplantae, Streptophyta, Magnoliopsida, Malvales, Malvaceae.